GCGUCUGGGGGCAAGCCUAACACAUGCAAGUCGAGCGGUAGAGAGGUGCUUGCACCUCUUGAGAGCGGCGGACGGGUGAGUAAUGCCUAGGAAUCUGCCUGGUAGUGGGGGAUAACGCUCGGAAACGGACGCUAAUACCGCAUACGUCCUACGGGAGAAAGCAGGGGACCUUCGGGCCUUGCGCUAUCAGAUGAGCCUAGGUCGGAUUAGCUAGUUGGUGGGGUAAUGGCUCACCAAGGCGACGAUCCGUAACUGGUCUGAGAGGAUGAUCAGUCACACUGGAACUGAGACACGGUCCAGACUCCUACGGGAGGCAGCAGUGGGGAAUAUUGGACAAUGGGCGAAAGCCUGAUCCAGCCAUGCCGCGUGUGUGAAGAAGGUCUUCGGAUUGUAAAGCACUUUAAGUUGGGAGGAAGGGCAUUAACCUAAUACGUUAGUGUUUUGACGUUACCGACAGAAUAAGCACCGGCUAACUCUGUGCCAGCAGCCGCGGUAAUACAGAGGGUGCAAGCGUUAAUCGGAAUUACUGGGCGUAAAGCGCGCGUAAGUGGUUUGUUA
This 558-nucleotide ribosomal RNA is filed under the name Pseudomonas sp. EA_R_21. RNAcentral describes it as "bacterial SSU rRNA". It matches the Rfam family "Bacterial small subunit ribosomal RNA", at positions 33 to 585 of the family's 1533-position model. Lineage: Bacteria; Pseudomonadati; Pseudomonadota; Gammaproteobacteria; Pseudomonadales; Pseudomonadaceae. The record is from RNAcentral.